ACAAAGAAACCAAGAAACUCAGGAUGGAUAGCGCUAUAGAUCUACCUUCCGAUCGCCAAAUAUGAUCGUUUAUCCAUGGCGCUAUCCCUCCUGAGCUUUAUGGAUUCACUAU
This 112-nucleotide microRNA precursor is filed under the name Olea europaea subsp. europaea. The record is from RNAcentral. Lineage: Eukaryota; Viridiplantae; Streptophyta; Magnoliopsida; Lamiales; Oleaceae.